UGCAGGAACAGACACUGCUGCUGGGGGGUCAACUGGCAGCCCUUACCCAAGCCACCGACACAAAUGGCCCUGCCACCAUGGAGCCAGAAGAAAAGAACAAAUAGAAUUCAAACUGCCCUCAUUGGACACUGCCAAAUUGGAGACUUCCAUCGGGGCUAUGAGAAAAAUGAGAAAACCGUGGGAUUUAGAGGUUCAUUGACGUUCCUUGGCCACACAGAGCUUAAAAGUGGAGCUCUGCAGUUCCGAGGCUUCCGUGACGACUGUGAGGUUAUAGAGGUGGCCUGCCGUCAAUCCACGGAAAACGUAGGAGGUGAGGUGAUUAUCGACGACGACGUUGUGAACCCAGCUUCCCUUGUCCAGCAACAGCAACCUGAUUCGGUCCGCCUUCCCGGGGCCACGCAUCCAAGUUACCUGGAGGGAGUCUCUUUGGUGGAAAACCUGGAGGGCUUUCACCGGCGAUGGAACUGAUGGAGUAAAAGACCGGUCUUACCGGUCGAACCACUGAUGUGUACUGCUUGGGAACUUUUAUUUCCAGAAAUGGCUGUGAUGGCAAUGUUGUAUUUACUACCAGCAGUGAGGUUGAAGAAAGUCGUUUCUUUGAGGGAGCCACUCCCUGGGAUCAGAACGCUCUGAAGCUUCUCGUUCUCGUCAUCCGACAACUGAACUUCAUACUGGGUGACCUUCCCCAAAGACGGAGUCCACGUCACCCGCAGGCUGGUCGAAGUGGUCUUGUCUCUGUCCACUUCAAACCGAGAAGGAGGCAAGGGAUCUGGGAGGAAACCAAUCAGAGAAAGAACGUUUGAGCUGCCCAUUUUUAGACGGCGAUAUUUGUGCGGCGGGUCAACGCUUUGCCGCUUUCCAAAACAGGGUCUUUUCCUUGGGUUCUCAAGAUUGGAGGAAUUUAUCACGCCAGAAACACCGAUCCCUGUAGCUGAUCUGGCACUCGACCAGUGCAAAAUGGCCUAAACGACCAUGUAUGGCACAGCAAAGGUCUACUUCUAAAUAGUGUUCUAUCUGAUCAAAAUAGGCCUUACCCCUCCUAAAAGUUAAUGUGCCCCGAAAAUUAGUUACCUCACAAAACUAAUAAAUGCUAUCGGUGAUGAGAAAACA
This is a long non-coding RNA of Ornithorhynchus anatinus (platypus), 1110 nucleotides long. RefSeq lists it as uncharacterized. Lineage: Eukaryota; Metazoa; Chordata; Mammalia; Monotremata; Ornithorhynchidae. The transcript is spliced from 4 exons. The record is from RefSeq and is a predicted model, not a curated record.